UACGGAGGGUGCAAGCGUUAUCCGGAUUCACUGGGUUUAAAGGGUCCGUAGGCGGAUCUGUAAGUCAGUGGUGAAAUCUCACAGCUUAACUGUGAAACUGCCAUUGAUACUGCAGGUCUUGAGUAAGGUAGAAGUAGCUGGAAUAAGUAGUGUAGCGGUGAAAUGCAUAGAUAUUACUUAGAACACCAAUUGCGAAGGCAGGUUACUAUGUCUUAACUGACGCUGAUGGACGAAAGCGUGGGGAGCGAACAGG
This 253-nucleotide ribosomal RNA is filed under the name uncultured bacterium. RNAcentral describes it as "partial 16S ribosomal RNA". It matches the Rfam family "Bacterial small subunit ribosomal RNA", at positions 524 to 776 of the family's 1533-position model. The record is from RNAcentral.